UCAACAGGCUCAUUGAAAGUAAAAA
RNAcentral lists this non-coding RNA (25 nucleotides) under Mus musculus (house mouse). Lineage: Eukaryota; Metazoa; Chordata; Mammalia; Rodentia; Muridae. The record is from RNAcentral.